UGCAACUCGACUACAUGAAGCUGGAAUCGCUAGUAAUCGCGAAUCAGAAUGUCGCGGUGAAUACGUUCCCGGGUCUUGUACACACCGCCCGUCACACCAUGGGAGUCAGUAACGCCCGAAGUCAGUGACCCAACCGGAACCGGAGGGAGCUGCCGAAGGUGGGACCGAUAACUGGGGUGAAGUCGUAACAAGGUAAC
RNAcentral lists this ribosomal RNA (197 nucleotides) under uncultured bacterium. Its description in RNAcentral is "partial 16S ribosomal RNA". It matches the Rfam family "Bacterial small subunit ribosomal RNA", at positions 1306 to 1500 of the family's 1533-position model. The record is from RNAcentral.